AAGCGGGGAGCACACACUUUUGCAUAAGCGCAUAACAAUAAGCAUAAGGAAAUUGAUUGGUUCAUUUCCUUAUGCAUAUAUUUGUGGACCAAUCAAUUUCUUUAUGUUUAUGGUUAUGCGCUUAUGCAAAAGUAUGUGCUCCCCGCUUUUCACUUUUCACGUUUCCGCUCUAAGGAAAAAGUACAUGAUCGACCUCCCUAAUACUCUUAAACGAGUUGGCGGCACUGAUCGUCAGUAGUAAGUAGUAGGUAUGCGUAAGUGUACGCAACACUGACGAUGUUGACGUUUAAUUUAUCGUCGCAAUCGCUAUGAAUAUUACGUGAACUCAACGGAUAAUGCCAGUAACCUCUUCCUAGUAAACGGUGUAACGUUGUAUGAUUGCGUGCUCGUGCGCAAGUUUCGCGAGUCGUGAGAUUCACGAACCGUAAAUAUGCGAUCUUUGUACACACUAGGGCUUUGGCUCGAUGCAAGAUACGCCAUGUUGGUUUGAAAGAAUAUCUUCCGAGUCGGUAGAAUCUGUUUGGUGAGCGCAUCGUUUCUGUAUAUAUUCUGUAUAUCGCGAAUGAACCCAGUGUGACGCACUCCAGACGAUGGAAGAAACGAAGAUUAUCUAUCACAUGGAUGAUGAGGAGACACCGUACCUGGUAAAGCUCAAUAUAUCGCCAGAGAGGGUAACCCUGGCCGAUUUCAAGAAUGUUUUAAAUCGGCCGAAUUAUAAGUAUUUCUUCAAAUCAAUGGACGAUGACUUUGGUGUGGUAAAAGAGGAAAUUAUAGAUGAUGAUGCUCAUCUGCCAUGUUUCAAUGGUCGAGUUGUCUCUUGGCUGGUAUCUGCCGAAGGUAGCAAUGUCUCGGAUGGUGCAUCUCAAUGUACAGACUCUAUGGCACACAGUGAAGCAAAACAUGAUCGUGUAGAUCAUAUAACUUCUGGACAUGGUAACAGAGGAACAGCUCCACUUUCACACGACGAUACAUUGACAGAGACGGAAAGUAUUAUAAGCAGUCGACAAGGACAUCAUUUACAUAAAAGCUCGAGACAUCAUUCAGAAAAAUAUGAAAAGUACAAUAAAUAUAAUGGACUUCGUAUAAAUGGUCAUUCAAAACAUCGCUCUGGUCAUGGAUAUGAAACUGCUUCCAUUUUGAGUUCAGAUUUAGAAACAACAACUUUUUUGGAAUCUGAUGACGAUGCGAGUAGUCGUAUCACGUCCACGACAGGUCGGCAUACCAAUAUGAGUAGCACAGUUGAUAGAGGCACUUUGGAUCGGCGUCGACCACAAAGAAGACGGCGGCAUAGAUUACCACCCAUGUCGCGAACGUCAUCGUUUAGUAGUAUUACUGACAGUACAAUGUCUUUAAAUAUUAUAACUGUUUCACUGAAUAUGGAUACUGUUAAUUUCCUUGGUAUUAGUAUUGUUGGGCAAAGUAAUAAAGGUGGAGAUGGAGGAAUAUAUGUUGGUUCAAUAAUGAAAGGGGGAGCAGUUGCUUUAGAUGGUCGAAUAGAACCUGGUGACAUGAUUCUCCAAGUCAAUGAUAUUAAUUUCGAAAAUAUGUCUAAUGACGAAGCGGUGAGAGUAUUACGUGAAGUAGUGCAAAAACCAGGACCAAUAAAACUUGUAGUUGCAAAAUGUUGGGACCCAAAUCCUAAAGGUUACUUUACGAUACCUCGCACAGAACCGGUACGUCCCAUAGAUCCUGGUGCAUGGGUAGCGCAUACGGCCGCUAUACGAGGUGAAGGUUUUCCGCCUCGUCCACCAAGUGCCACAACAUUAACUUCAACAUCGAGCAGUCUUGCGAGCACGCUGCCAGAUACCGAACGACCUUUGGAAGAGCUUCAUUUGACAGUCAAUACUGACAUGCCGACAGUAGUACGAGCAAUGGCUCGAUCUGAUUCAGGCUUAGAGAUACGCGAUCGAAUGUGGCUUAAAAUUACCAUUCCAAAUGCAUUUAUCGGUGCGGAUGUUGUGGAUUGGCUGAAUACACACGUAGAAGGAUUUAUUGAUCGGCGCGAUGCUAGGAAAUAUGCAUCACUCAUGCUAAAAGCUGGCUUUAUUCGGCAUACAGUGAACAAAAUCACAUUUUCCGAACAAUGUUAUUACAUUUUUGGCGAUCUAUGUUCAGCCAUGAGUAGCAUGAAACUAGAUUGUGAUACAGUUGGUCCCUUGCCACCGCCAAAUGCUUGGGACAUGCCUUAUUCGGGAACAUAUGCACCACACUCAGCGACUGGUUACAGUCCCAUGCCAUUUAAUUUCACAAAUGAGCCCACUGUCUAUGGUUACCAUCGAGAAGAGAGCGUGCAUAGUGGUUCGGGUGGUAGCAGUGCAGGUAGUGAACGUAUAUGCAAAGAACCUAUUCACGACUUAAAAUCGUGCUCUUCGGCAUCAGAAUCAGAAUUACAUAAUCCAUCGAUGCCGUCAAUGCCAAGCAAAAAUUCCGGCAAUGGUAACGGAUCGAAUGGAAAAAGAUCUAACGGAAGUCGCAGUCGUUCUAGUGGUUCCGAACAAUCUGUUCAAACAGGAACAGGAUCAGGGAAUCAGCAGAAUCAACAAGAUUUAUCUGGACUAUCUACAACAAUGGGGCAGCUAUUUCUUUAAAAUCGAGAAGAUAUUAUUUCUUAAUAUUUUUGUCCUUCUCCUCCUCCUCACCAAAUAAUUUAUUUUUAUUUUGAAAAUGUUUGGUACAUUAUGUAAAAAUAUUGUCUUGUGUAUAGAAAUUGUUUGUCCUCGUUAACUAGUUAGAAAAAAAAACUUACGACGUCCACAUAUAUAAAUUUUUAUACAUAGUGUGUGUACCCAUUGAUAAAAGUUUUUAUAUAUUAAAUCGUAAAAUCGAAAGUAUAAAUCGAACUUUUUACGAUAUACGUCAUUAUAUUAAAUUCAAUAAAGUGUACAUAUAUGCAAAUUAUGCUCAUAUUAAAUGUGCCAUCUUAUCAAUGUUAGAAAGAUAGAAAGCUACAAGAUUUUAUUUAUAUAGAUGUUUGCAGAUAUAUUCUUAGAUUAUUUUGUCAUUGUUACACUCAUAUUUUACAAUUAGUAAUAAAACUUUCAUAUAUGUUUUAAGUUUUUAAAUAUUACUUUAAUAUUGUCAACAUGCAAAACUUUUUUAUGUAUGUCUUGCCAUUAUGUCAAAUUUAUUUAGUACAUUGCUGUAAAGAGAAGAUGUCUUUCUAUGCUCGAUUUUAUGCUUUAAUAUAAAAAGUGUUAUAUUAUUAUAUACAGAGUGUCCGGCGUCAAUCGCAUCAUCCGUCAUAUACAGGUAGAGCAGAUAAAAACUGAAGAAAAAAGUCCUGUACCAUUUUUUUCUAUAACGCUUAAUAAGAGAGUUUUUAGGCGAUUUUUGGCCAUCGUUUGGUAUAUGUAUCAAUAUGUAUCAGAAUGUUUUCGCGUGGUUAGUAAUUUGUGAUAGAGACGUGGCUAAUUAUUUUGGUAUUUAUCAGUUGAUAGCACGCUAUACCGAGCAGUGAAGCAGGGUAUAUAUUGUUAGUUACUGAUACAUGUAUCAAAAUAAGCUCCACCCCUAUCAAUGACAACUUUGGUACAUGUACCAAACAAUCGCCAAAAAUCGCCUAUUAUUGAGUGAAGUCUGAUCUAUCAUCGCCAAUUUAUUAUACAAAAAAAUGGUACAAGACUUUUCUUAAUUUUAUCUGCUCUACCUGCACACGGGUGAUACGAUUGACGCCGGACAACUUGUACAGCGCACAAGAGAACUUUAAAUUCCUAUGAUAUAAUUUUCUAUACAUUAAAGUCACUCUUUUUUUUCUUUUUAUUAUAUCAAUAUAAUAAUAGCAAAAAAUAUUUUUAAUUUUAUUUGUUGCACAUUAUUUAUAUAGAAAAAAGUAAACAUUAGUUUGUGUGUACAAUGCUCUACCAUUUGAUGAUAUAUUGAUACAAUAAUAGCCAAAUAUAGCUUCAUAUGCAUAUAUAUACCUGUAUAUGUGUAGUAUAUGCAUGGAUGUAUAAAUAUAUAAACACACACACACACAUAUAUAUGUAUAUACAUAUAUACAAAAUACAUACAUAUGUACAAAAAAAUAUUCUAAAACUAUUUAUAUGUAAAAUAUCUUUUAUUGAUUAGAAAUAUAAAUAUUUUAACAAAAACAAUUAAAUAUUUUGACAAAAAGCUUUGUUUCGUUAUAAUUGUUAAAUUUUAUCUGGUAUUUUAUUAUGAAGCUAUAUUUGUGUGCAAUGUAAAUGUUAUGCAAUUUUCCUAAUUAAUAUAAUUACAUCUUUUAUUUAAUUAUAAUAUAAAUCAUUGUAUGACUUGUUAAUUUCUUCUUUAAUAUGAUCUCAACUUGAUAAAAUUGAUUCAUAAAAUAUCACUUUUUUUUUAUAAAAAAAGAUGUAUUUACGUGUAUUAUUUAUCGUUAUAUCAAUGUUGCGGAAAAUUGCAUGAUACAUUAAUUAUGAGUUACAUACAUUUAAUUAUAUAUAAUAAACUAUAAUUAACUUAAUAACUAUUAAUAAACUAUAAUUUUAAUAUUUAUAAUAAGCGGAUGUACGAAACUUGUCGAUUUGUAUCACGAUGUCAUGACAAUAUUAAUAAUUUUAUUGUAUUAUGUAAAUCUCACAUAUACUUAUGUUACAGACAGGUUGUGCAAUACAUUUCACAAAUUUUAAGAUUUUUGCUAUUUGUUAUGUAUUAAUUUAACAUUGCAAAUAGAUGGAGUCAGUAUAAAUUUUUCUGAAAUCGUAUAUUCAUUAAUUAAAAGUGUUUUAGAUUGCCUUUUACUAUUUGUAUCGCCUCCCUGUUCUGAAGAAAAUGUAUUAAAAAUUUUCAUGCUUUUGAACAUUAUAUCGCUAGUAUAUACAUAUUGCACUAUCUCAGAUAUGUAACCGAGAUAUUUUUGUGCUUUGUGCUGCGCGCUGAUGGUUGAUGCAGGGCGGCGUCUGCACGAGGAGACUCAUACACAAACUAGUGAUUUGGACAACAAUAGCAGAGACGAUAUCUAUGAGGAAGACAUUUUGGAGUAUCAGUUUCUACAUAAGUGAGAAGAUCUUUUUUAAUGUAUACACAUAAUGAUGGUAACAUGAGUCAAACAAAUGAUUAAGAUAUAUUUCCAUUGACUUUUUAUUAAUUGGAUGGAAGUAGCACACAUGCAAAACAUAUAUUUAUAUAUUUAAUAGGCCAAUUUUGAUAUCAUAGAAAGUAAAAAAUUAAAAUUCAUAAUU
Molecule: RNA transcript, 5162 nt
Organism: Cataglyphis hispanica
Lineage: Eukaryota; Metazoa; Arthropoda; Insecta; Hymenoptera; Formicidae
Gene: dsh
Gene name: segment polarity protein dishevelled homolog DVL-3
Exons: 11
Source: RefSeq, a predicted model, not a curated record